RNAcentral lists this long non-coding RNA (2046 nucleotides) under Apis mellifera (honey bee). RNAcentral's name for it is "uncharacterized LOC107965519, transcript variant X3". The record is from RNAcentral. Lineage: Eukaryota; Metazoa; Arthropoda; Insecta; Hymenoptera; Apidae.
CUGAAACGACGAUCUUGGUCUAAGCUUACUACCAACCUCGGCUUUGAAUACAGAUAUGUACAUCACCAUUCCCACCAGCAUUAACAAACCUGAAAGAGAAACUGAUUUAAUAACUUGAAACGUUAUCUCUUGCGCCACCAAUUCUCUUGUGACAAUUUCACAAAGUAUGGAUCUCUCAUCGUAACGCGAUUAUUUUGAUGAUGACUUUGAUCUUUGAUUUCUUCGCGCAAGUUCAAAGAGUGGAUGGACAUGAAAUACUUAAUUCUAUUCAGUUGAGAAGAAAUGGCAGAGCGAGCAAAGUAUCCUGGUGCAAUAUAAGCUCGGUGUACUUUAUUACUCACCGGAAACUAUGAAGACCACGCCAGCGACAAAGACGCAAAGUCUGUGUCUCGGGUGAGUAACGUGAGCUGUGAAGUAACAAACUUCGGCUACCACCAGCAGCGAUGUUGCAGCGAAGAAGAACAUUGCCGACUUGAAGAAGAAGAAGAAGAAGAAGAAGAAAAAAAGAAGAGAAGAGAAAUUAGAAAGAGGAAAAGGCACGAGGAACUUAAUUAUCUCUUGGAUCGUCUAACUACGUGAAAAUAGAAAGAUUCAAAGGGGAGGAUUCGCGCAAGAGGAGAAGUUGGACGAAUUCAAAGUCAAAGGAGGAAGCGGCGCAUGAAUGUAAUUUAUAUGCCAUGGGCUGGUAAAUCAUCCCUCCUCUUCUCCUUCCCCACUCCAAGCAUAUUUUUCGCCCUCCACCGCUUCCACCCCCGAGAUUUAAUUGAAACGAAGGUGGUAAAGAAUGGUGACCCGUGACCUGUGAACGACCGAGUUCGAGCACGAUUCGGUGUUAUUAGACCACCGUUCGUCAUAAUCCUUCUCUUUUAUACGAUAUGAUUUAUAAGAGUGAGAUCGAUACUACACCUCUUUCUCUACCUUCUCCUACUCUUUGACGAAACGAGAUCUUCCAUCUUCUUGCAAAACGCGAGACAUGUGUUUCCGUUUUUAAUAUCGCAAUAUAAUUGGAAAGAUGUGAAAUCGAGGAACGUUUUUCUUUUUAUUUUUUGGAAACGAAAUAUUCGGAAUUUUUCAAAUCGAAUUUCGAUGAUAAUUUUUUAUGUGGAAAAAUUUGUUCGAAACACAAUUUUUUAUUAUCGUUUCAUUCGACUUUCGCGAAAGAUUUCCUCGUUAAAUGUUUAUUUUCAAAAUUCGAAAGCUUUUUCGCGUACUCUCUGUUUAAAUUUGAUUUUUAGAUUUGUUGGCGGAUUUUAAAACGAACGGAUCGAUAGGUUUUUAAACUAUUUUCCCUUGGGAGAUUAAGGGAAUCGAAUUUGUUGUUGUUAAAUUUUUGCGGCCAGUGUGUAAUUCCAUUAACAAUUUUCUAGAUUUCGAAGGUUUUAAAAAUAUCGAUUGGAUAAAGGUCUUUGAAAUAUAUAUAUAUUUUUUUUUUCACCGUCGGAUCAAAAUUGUUGAAGAAAUUUUGGAAAAUUUUUGGUAAAUUUUGCGUUGAAUGGUGGAUUGUUAUUACACGUAUUUCGUGGGAAUUGUCGUCGUAAAAAUGGAGGAGGAGGAAUGGCGGUAGAAUCGUAAAACGUCAAAAUCUGUGUCAACAUCCAUCCCGUGAAAUCGAAAUAAUAAAACAUGAAAUCAAACGAAUUUAAUCUGUCAAACGUUUCAUUAACUUAAAAAGAUAUUGAUUAAAACUUUGGGAAAUAGCAUCGGUUCAAGUUUGAGCGAAACGUAUAAUAGAUUGAAUAGAUGAAAAUUUAAUGGGACGGAAAAUAAAACUUGUUAAUAAUCGAUCACCAAACAUUUUCGAAAUUUCGUUAAAAACGGAAGAUUGAAAUUUUGUUUCCAACAGAGAUAUAUUAAAAAGAUUCUUUCGAAACUUGGUGAAAUUUACAAAAUAGUCGGACGAGAAAUUGUCAAGCAAAUAUUUAUUGCCGCUGUGAUUAAACUUUAAAUCACGUAAAAUAAACGUAGAAGAAAAAAAAAAAAGAAACGUUUUUUCUAUUUACGCAACUUCUUCACUUUUCAAUGAACAGAAUCAACACAAUUUCUACU